This 561-nucleotide unclassified non-coding RNA is filed under the name Hevea brasiliensis (rubber tree). Lineage: Eukaryota; Viridiplantae; Streptophyta; Magnoliopsida; Malpighiales; Euphorbiaceae. The record is from RNAcentral.
GUUAUUCCUACAAUUGCGUUCAAGUAAGCACUCAAGUACUUUUGAAACGAUGAAAAUUUCAAGUCCCUUUUGCAUGUCUAAUUUAUAAUAAUUUACUUUCACAAUCAUAUUUAUGAUGUUUUCUGCUCUUAUUUGACCUCUCUAGUGUGAUUCUCCUUUUGAAAUUGUUUAUAUUUACCCAUUAAAUUAUGCUCUUAAGACUAAAUUUAAGUGCACAGAUUAAUUCAUAUUAUUCAAUUGUGCAUGUCAAAAUGAUGUCAUUCUGUUUUUACUCCUUUCUUCUCCUCUCACUCUCUUUGAUGGGGUGGCUGGUAUGGUGUGUGGCAGGCUUUUGCUGUUACAUUGUGGGCUUCAAUUUAAUUUAGUUUAGUUCACUCAGGUCUAAAUGGUUAGCAAGAAAUGUCAUAUGUAGAUUCUUCCCAUGAGGUUUUAUUGGAGGUCAUAUGUAUACUAUUACAGCUUUUAGUUGGGUCUGUUUCAAUAUUUUUAUGUAAUAUGGUGUUUUCUGCAGUGUGUCCAAUGUCUACAAGGUUGUUCAGGCAAGAAAAGGCAACAUGUUAU